This 235-nucleotide ribosomal RNA is filed under the name uncultured Glomus. RNAcentral's name for it is "partial 18S ribosomal RNA". The stretch from base 90 to 235 matches the Rfam family "Eukaryotic small subunit ribosomal RNA", at positions 736 to 884 of the family's 1831-position model. The record is from RNAcentral. Lineage: Eukaryota; Fungi; Glomeromycota; Glomeromycetes; Glomerales; Glomeraceae.
GGAUCAGUACGCCGGUCGUGCCUUCGGUACGUACUGGUGUCACUGAUUCCUCCCUUCUGACGAACCGUCAUGCCAUUCACUUGGUGUGGCGGGGAAUCAGGACUGUUACUUUGAAAAAAUUAGAGUGUUUAAAGCAGGCUCACGCUUGAAUACAUUAGCAUGGAAUAAUGAAAUAGGACGUUGAUCUUAUUUUGUUGGUUUCUAGGAUUGACGUAAUGAUUAAUAGGGAUAGUUG